Molecule: ribosomal RNA, 1222 nt
Filed under: Salina celebensis
Lineage: Eukaryota; Metazoa; Arthropoda; Collembola; Entomobryomorpha; Paronellidae
Description: 16S ribosomal RNA
Rfam family: Archaeal large subunit ribosomal RNA (bases 832-1172)
Source: RNAcentral
ACAAUGAAAAGAUCUCUUUCGCCAGGGUGUUUUGAUGAAAAUAUUUUAUAUUUUUAAAGUUUUUAUUGUUUAAGUAUUAAAAAGAAUUUAUUUUUUAUAUUUUACUGAGGGGGAUAUCAGUGAAAUAUUUUAAAUAUUAUUCAUUUUAAUAAAAUAUAUAGUACUUUUUGUAUCAUGGUUAUUUAAUUUUUAAAAAGUUUUUUGUUUCCCUAAAAUAAAAGAGUUAAAUAAAUUGUUUGUUUAAUGUUGAAAUAUUAAGGCAAAAAUUUAUUUAGUAUUGAUAUAAUUCCGAUUUUAUUAAUUUUUGGUUUAGUAAAAUGUUUACUUUGGGCUUUUAAGUUUAUAUAUUUUUCAAUAUUUAAAGUUUAAAAUCGAAAUUUCCUUUAGGAUUAGCUUAAGGAUUAAAUAUUUAUAAAGCUAAAAUGGUUUAAUAAAAUAGAAAAGUUUAGAAGCGUCUAUUGGUGGGUUAUACCUUAUUUAUUUUUUUAGAAAAUUUAUUUAGCUUUUAUUAAAAUAUUUUUUUGCUCAAAUUAUUUAAUCUUAGUGUUACUGAAUAAAUUAUUAGUUAAAUAAUUAGUUUAGGUUAUAGUUAAAAUUAAUUUAUAAAUUCGACAGAUCGCUUAAGACUGUUUAUCAAAAACAUUUCUUUUUGUUUACAUGAAAAGUAAAGCCUGCCCACUGAAGUUUGAAGGGCCGCGGUAUAUUGACCGUGCUAAGGUAGCAUAAUCAUUAGUCUUUUAAUUAAGGAAUAGAAUGAAUGGUUAAACUUAGGUGUAUUGUGUGAGUUAAUUAUUUUUGAAUUUUAAAUUUAAGUGAAAAUGCUUAAUUUUGGUAAAAAGACGAUAAGACCCUAUAGAGCUUGAUUUUGAAAAUUAAUGUCAAUUAUAGUUGUGGGGAGAUUUUAUUUUUUAAAGUUUAAUUGGGGCAAUUAAAGAAUAGAAAAAACUUCUUUGAAUUCUUAGAUCUUAAAAUUUAAAAAUGAAAAAGUUACCUUAGGGAUAACAGCGUAAUGUUUAUUGAGAGUUCUUAUCGACAUAAUUGUUUGCGACCUCGAUGUUGAAUUAAAAUUUCUGUUUGGGGCAGUUCUUAUAAUAGGUGGUCUGUUCGACCAUUAAAAUUUUACAUGAUUUGAGUUCAAAUCGGUGCGAGCCAGGUUGGUUUCUAUCUUUUACAUCUAAUUAAUCUUUCUAGUACGCAAGGACCGUUAUGAGGUAAUUUUUUU